RNAcentral lists this ribosomal RNA (492 nucleotides) under uncultured bacterium. Its description in RNAcentral is "partial 16S ribosomal RNA". It matches the Rfam family "Bacterial small subunit ribosomal RNA", at positions 29 to 507 of the family's 1533-position model. The record is from RNAcentral.
AAUGAACGCUGGCGGUAGGCCUAACACAUGCAAGUCGAACGGCAGCACAGUAAGAGCUUGCUCUUACGGGUGGCGAGUGGCGGACGGGUGAGGAAUACAUCGGAAUCUACUUUUUCGUGGGGGAUAACGUAGGGAAACUUACGCUAAUACCGCAUACGACCUACGGGUGAAAGCAGGGGAUCUUCGGACCUUGCGCGAUUGAAUGAGCCGAUGUCGGAUUAGCUAGUUGGCGGGGUAAAGGCCCACCAAGGCGACGAUCCGUAGCUGGUCUGAGAGGAUGAUCAGCCACACUGGAACUGAGACACGGUCCAGACUCCUACGGGAGGCAGCAGUGGGGAAUAUUGGACAAUGGGCGCAAGCCUGAUCCAGCCAUACCGCGUGGGUGAAGAAGGCCUUCGGGUUGAAAAGCCCUUUUGUUGGGAAAGAAAAGCAGCAGGUUAAUACCCCGCUGUUCUGACGGUACCCAAAGAAUAAGCACCGGCUAACUUCGUG